AUUGAACGCUGGCGGCAUGCCUUACACAUGCAAGUCGAACGGCAGCACAGGAGCAAUCCUGGUGGCGAGUGGCGAACGGGUGAGUAAUGUAUCGGAACGUGCCCAGUCGUGGGGGAUAACGUAGCGAAAGCUACGCUAAUACCGCAUACGAUCUAUGGAUGAAAGCGGGGGACCGUAAGGCCUCGCGCGAUUGGAGCGGCCGAUAGCAGAUUAGGUAGUUGGUGGGGUAAAGGCCUACCAAGCCGACGAUCUGUAGCUGGUCUGAGAGGACGACCAGCCACACUGGGACUGAGACACGGCCCAGACUCCUACGGGAGGCAGCAGUGGGGAAUUUUGGACAAUGGGCGCAAGCCUGAUCCAGCAAUGCCGCGUGCAGGAUGAAGGCCUUCGGGUUGUAAACUGCUUUUGUACGGAGCGAAAAGGCUCUCUCUAAUACAGGGGGCUCAUGACGGUACCGUAAGAAUAAGCACCGGCUAACUACGUGCCAGCCGCCGCAGUAA
This 500-nucleotide ribosomal RNA is filed under the name uncultured bacterium. RNAcentral describes it as "partial 16S ribosomal RNA". It matches the Rfam family "Bacterial small subunit ribosomal RNA", at positions 30 to 523 of the family's 1533-position model. The record is from RNAcentral.